CCCUUAGAUGUUCUGGGCUGCACGCGCGCUACACUGAUGCGCUCAACGAGUUUUAACCUUGCCUGGAAAGGUUGGGUAAUCUUUUUAAAACGCAUCGUGAUGGGGAUAGAUUAUUGCAAUUAUUAAUCUUCAACGAGGAAUUCCUAGUAAGCGCAAGUCAUCAGCUUGCGUUGAUUACGUCCCUGCCCUUUGUACACACCGCCCGUCGCUCCUACCGAUUGAAUGGUCCGGUGAAGCGCUCGGACCGCGGCCUCUUGACGGUUCGCUGUCGAUUGGCUGUGGGAAGUUCGUUAAACCUUAUCAUUUAGAGGAAGGAGAAGUCGUAACA
Molecule: ribosomal RNA, 328 nt
Filed under: uncultured eukaryote
Lineage: Eukaryota
Description: partial 18S ribosomal RNA
Rfam family: Eukaryotic small subunit ribosomal RNA
Source: RNAcentral